CACGUAGGGCGCAAGCGUUGUCCGGAAUUAUUGGGCGUAAAGAGCUCGUAGGCGGUCUGUUACGUCUGCUGUGAAAACCCGGGGCUUAACCCUGGGCUUGCAGUGGAUACGGGCAGACUAGAGGCAGGUAGGGGAGAAUGGAAUUCCCGGUGUAGCGGUGAAAUGCGCAGAUAUCGGGAGGAACACCAGUGGCGAAGGCGACUACCUGGCCUGUUCUUGACGCUGAGGCGCGAAAGCUAGGGGAGCAAACGGG
This 253-nucleotide ribosomal RNA is filed under the name uncultured bacterium. Its description in RNAcentral is "partial 16S ribosomal RNA". It matches the Rfam family "Bacterial small subunit ribosomal RNA", at positions 524 to 776 of the family's 1533-position model. The record is from RNAcentral.